UACGAAGGGGGCUAGCGUUGCUCGGAAUCACUGGGCGUAAAGCGCACGUAGGCGGAUCUUUAAGUCGGGGGUGAACUCCUGGAGCUCAACUCCAGAACUGCCUUCGAUACUGAGGACCUUGAGUCCGGGAGAGGUGAGUGGAACUGCGAGUGUAGAGGUGAAAUUCGUAGAUAUUCGCAAGAACACCAGUGGCGAAGGCGGCUCACUGGCCCGGUACUGACGCUGAGGCGCGAAAGCUAGGGGAGCAAACGGG
Molecule: ribosomal RNA, 253 nt
Filed under: uncultured bacterium
Lineage: Bacteria
Description: partial 16S ribosomal RNA
Rfam family: Bacterial small subunit ribosomal RNA
Source: RNAcentral